Molecule: ribosomal RNA, 886 nt
Filed under: Bacillus sp. enrichment culture clone BH25
Lineage: Bacteria; Bacillati; Bacillota; Bacilli; Caryophanales; Bacillaceae
Description: bacterial SSU rRNA
Rfam family: Bacterial small subunit ribosomal RNA
Source: RNAcentral
UCCGGAUGUUAGCGGCGGACGGGUGAGUAACACGUGGGUAACCUGCCUGUAAGACUGGGAUAACUCCGGGAAACCGGAGCUAAUACCGGAUAGUUCCUUGAACCGCAUGGUUCAAGGAUGAAAGACGGUUUCGGCUGUCACUUACAGAUGGACCCGCGGCGCAUUAGCUAGUUGGUGGGGUAAUGGCUCACCAAGGCGACGAUGCGUAGCCGACCUGAGAGGGUGAUCGGCCACACUGGGACUGAGACACGGCCCAGACUCCUACGGGAGGCAGCAGUAGGGAAUCUUCCGCAAUGGACGAAAGUCUGACGGAGCAACGCCGCGUGAGUGAUGAAGGUUUUCGGAUCGUAAAGCUCUGUUGUUAGGGAAGAACAAGUGCGAGAGUAACUGCUCGCACCUUGACGGUACCUAACCAGAAAGCCACGGCUAACUACGUGCCAGCAGCCGCGGUAAUACGUAGGUGGCAAGCGUUGUCCGGAAUUAUUGGGCGUAAAGGGCUCGCAGGCGGUUUCUUAAGUCUGAUGUGAAAGCCCCCGGCUCAACCGGGGAGGGUCAUUGGAAACUGGGAAACUUGAGUGCAGAAGAGGAGAGUGGAAUUCCACGUGUAGCGGUGAAAUGCGUAGAGAUGUGGAGGAACACCAGUGGCGAAGGCGACUCUCUGGUCUGUAACUGACGCUGAGGAGCGAAAGCGUGGGGAGCGAACAGGAUUAGAUACCCUGGUAGUCCACGCCGUAAACGAUGAGUGCUAAGUGUUAGGGGGUUUCCGCCCCUUAGUGCUGCAGCUAACGCAUUAAGCACUCCGCCUGGGGAGUACGGUCGCAAGACUGAAACUCAAAGGAAUUGACGGGGGCCCGCACAAGCGGUGGAGCAUGUGGUUUAAUUCGAA